GUAGGGUGCAAGCGUUAAUCGGAAUUACUGGGCGUAAAGCGUGCGCAGGCGGUUUUGUAAGUCUGUCGUGAAAGCCCCGGGCUCAACCUGGGAAUUGCGAUGGAGACUGCAAGGCUUGAAUCUGGCAGAGGGGGGUAGAAUUCCACGUGUAGCAGUGAAAUGCGUAGAGAUGUGGAGGAACACCGAUGGCGAAAGGCAGCCCCCUGGGUCAAGAUUGACGCUCAUGCACGAAAGCGUGGGGGGAGCAAACAGGAUUAGAUACCCUGGUAGUCCACGCCCUAAACGAUGUCUACUGGUUGUCGGGUUUUAAUUAACCUUGGUAACGCAGCUAACGCGUGAAGUAGACCGCCUGGGGAUACGGUCGCAAAGAUUAA
This 374-nucleotide ribosomal RNA is filed under the name uncultured organism. Its description in RNAcentral is "partial 16S ribosomal RNA". It matches the Rfam family "Bacterial small subunit ribosomal RNA", at positions 527 to 897 of the family's 1533-position model. The record is from RNAcentral.